CUAGCGACUUCAGAGUUUGAUCCUGGCUCAGGAUGAACGCUAGCGGCAGGCUUAACACAUGCAAGUCGAGGGGCAGCGUGAAGAAGUAGCAAUACGGAUUUGACGGCGACCGGCGCACGGGUGCGUAACGCGUAUGUAACCUACCUUUAACAGGGGGAUAACACUGAGAAAUUGGUACUAAUACCCCAUAAUACUUUAGGAGGCAUCUCCUUUGGUUGAAAGUUCCGGCGGUUAAAGAUGGACAUGCGUUGUAUUAGCUAGAUGGUGAGGUAACGGCUCACCAUGGCGACGAUACAUAGGGGGACUGAGAGGUUAACCCCCCACACUGGUACUGAGACACGGACCAG
RNAcentral lists this ribosomal RNA (347 nucleotides) under uncultured bacterium. RNAcentral's name for it is "bacterial SSU rRNA". It matches the Rfam family "Bacterial small subunit ribosomal RNA", at positions 1 to 334 of the family's 1533-position model. The record is from RNAcentral.